Molecule: long non-coding RNA, 3914 nt
Filed under: Malus domestica (apple)
Lineage: Eukaryota; Viridiplantae; Streptophyta; Magnoliopsida; Rosales; Rosaceae
Description: long non-coding RNA (MDOM_LNC012634)
Source: RNAcentral
GUAUGUGAGGUGGAGCUUUAUCUAGCACGUAAACAAUCUUCUCCAAUGUUAGGAGAAUCUUGACAUUACGAAACCAUGAUGGGAAAUUGUGCCCCUCUAGGCAAUGUUUGUCGAGUAUUUUCGCAAGUGUGCUUCCAACCAUAUCUAAAUACAUAAACAAUAAAAUAAUUAGUUUGAUUGUUGAUUAAGUCAAACGAUUCGGGUCUUUAAACCGAAUGACACCACCCACCAUUUUUGGAAAAUUCCAUAUCCCUCAAGAUGGAAUCCGGGAGAUUUCAAUGAAAGCUCCUAGCGGGUUAUGAGAGGCUCACUAUUACCAAGCCCACCUCACGAUGAUACAAUAUUGGCUAGCAAAAAUAAUAAUGAGAGGGUACACUUACCCAUUCACAACAACCUCUUGUGAUUACCCAUCUUUUUGGCCUCUAGAAAACAAUGCCUCACGAUGAUACGAUAUUGGCACCAUUUUUCUUAUUUAAGUUCUUUCCCACCAUGCCGGUUUAGAUAGGGGUCCAAGUAUGACCUCACGAUGAUACGAUAUUGGCCACACUCGUUGCCUACCUUCACCUCAUCAAAUGUUUUAAAUAAACUCCUCCUGAGUAUAAGCAUGCACUUUGCACUCCCCCAUGAUAGGGUGAAGGCGGUAUACAAGUCAUAAACGAUUGGAGCCUACCACGGUGGAAGGCCAUGAAAAAGUGUUCAAAGCACUCUUACGCUUUCAACUUAAUAUUGUAUGUUGGUUGAGGGAUUUUAAGGUCUCAUCAAUUUUAUUUAUUUAAUCACAUUCAAAUAAAUUGUGUCCUAUUAUAACUACUAGUCCAGAGUUAAUGAAAUUAGUAGCAUGUGAUAUCCCCACUAUUCGUUUUCAUAAAACAAAUCAAUAUCAAAACAUUUUUCAAAAUAUUGGAGAUAUAUAUAACUACUAAUUGUAUUCAUUAUAGUUUAGUAGCGUAUGAUACUCCCACUAUUUGUUUUAAGAAAAACAAAUCAAUAUCAAAAACGAAUUUUUUUAAAUAUUGGAAGUAACUACUACUACUACGGUUUUUGCAUUCCUUUGAAUUUGGACUUUAUAGUUAUCGUAGGCUCUUGGAUGACCAUGGACUUAUUAGGUUAUUGCAACAACGAGCCAACAUAGUUGAAUAAGAACUCGGGGAGGUUGUAUCAAUUUAAUUACGUGCUUUUCAAUCCAAUUAAACAUUUUCAUUGAGCCAUUAGAAAUGAAAGACAAUCAUUCAUUGCUAAUUAGGGCGUUGGACACAUUUAAUCUUUAAUCUCAUGUCAAAACCCUCUUUUAGUUAUGUCUCUUUACCAAUAGUUAAAGAAACUCUAGUCUAGCACUAGAGGGAAUCAACUAACUAAAAGAGAUUAAGAAGUAAUAAGAAUUACAAACAGAUUUGUUCAAAUUCCUACAAAUUACACAUACUAAGAGGGAGAGAUAGAUUAAUGUCCAACGUGACAAGGUCCAAUUGAAACAGUAAUUAAAACACAUUCCCAAGGUUCAAACAAUUUGAGUUUAGCGCCUUAUCUCAUAGCUCAAUUAUCGUUUAAGGCAUAAGUCCAUAGUCACCCAUUUUUCUAACUACUUAAUCACAUUAAAUAAUCAUAUGGAAUGCAACAUAAACAUUUAGAUUUAGUGCAUAUGGGCAUAAUAUUAUUAUGAGUUUAAACAACUAAUAAAAUUAAAAUCAAAUAUUUUAACUUUUCAAAUAGUAGGGGCCUAAAUGCAAAUAUGAAAAGUUAGGGGUCAAACCGUAAAUACUUGAAAGUAUAAACAACCCUUUUAACAUUACAAAAAAGCCCCACAAGUGGGUAAUCCACUAGGGUGGCCGGCCAACAUAAUGGGGAUGGGAGGUUUCACCCAUCUUGCGUUGAACCAACACAAAGUAGAGAAAAAAAUUAAAUUUUGCUUGUCACUUGGUUUUGCUUUAAGGACUUUAGUGAAAAGGGUGAUGGAAAUUUAACUAGACUAGUCUAGGUUUGAAUAAAUUUUGAGAUGGCUAUGGAUGGUUUGUACAUCAUCCAAAACCACAAAACAAUGCAUAAGAAACAAAUAAAACCAUUUUCACCAAAAACCAAACCAUGAACACCAAGAACAAAACCAUGAACACAUUUUCAAGAUUUGUAUAUUCUUGGUGAUUUUUCAAACCCAAAAACAAAAGUGACAAGAUUUCUACUUUCUUGCUUCAAAGUGUGUGUGUGUGAUUCAAAAUAAAAACACAAACACAUAGCCAAAAUCCCCUUUUUGCCGUGCCCUCCCUAUGACUCAAAACCCCAAAAUUUGUUCUAAACUCAUUCUUCAUUCAUGCAUCCAAAACACUUUUUGCAUACAUAUCUUUCUCAACUAUUGAUUUACAUUUUUCAACAAUUGAAAAACAAAAGAUAAACAUACUUUGAAUGAAGCAAUAAUAUGUCAUACAUAAAAUUAAGACCCAUAUGCAUAAAAUCCAAAAAGGACACAUCAUACAUAAACCUUUGGCUCUGAUACCACUUGAAGGGAGAACCAUGAGAUUCAUGUGGGAUUUCUAGUGACUAGCAUGCAUAUACAAUUCAAAAUUUAUAUACGAAAGCAACGGAAGCAUGUUAUCAAAUAAUAUCAAAGCAAUAGUCAUGUAAACCCCUUUCAAGAUGCAUAGGUUUAUGUAAGAUGCAUCAAAAACAAAUUUAUAUAAGAACCAAGUUUAUGAGUAGUUUUAUACCUCUUGAUCUAGAUCUUAGACCAAGGAUGGACCACCUCCAAGCCCUUUGCUCCUUGAACUCCUUGAGCCUAGCCUCCUUCCUUGCCUCCUCCACUUUGUUUAGAAUGAGUGCUCCUAGGUUCUCUUCAAUUUUCCAAAAUUGAAAACCUCUAAAGAUCCUCACCUACUAGUGUAGUGAGAAGGAUGAAGGAAUAACCAAAGGGGUGAAAAGAUGAUUAGCUAAAUCCCCCUUAUGGUGGCUGGCCCUUUGAGUGUUAGAGAGAUAUUUUUCUUUUUUUCUUUUGUUCUUUUAACACUUCAAAAACCCUAAUGAAACAUUUGCUAUAAAGUUCCUUUUAUAGCCAAAAAGAAACAAGUCAACAUUUGACCUCUCUCCCUCCUUUGGCCGGCCCCUUUGUGUUGUUUGGGCUUUGGGCUUUUAUUUAUUUCAAGUCAUCCAAUGCUUGAAUAAAAGCCCAAUGGGUUUAGGCCCAAUGGGCCCAAUUAAACCCGAACGUUUCUUUAAGCCCAAAACGAUCUAAUAUCGCUUUUAUGAUUUCUUUAGACUUUCUAAUUAAUCACAACACUUAAUUAAUCCAAUUAAUUAUUUCCAUCAUCCAUUAAUUACUCACUACAAGAGUGUAUUGGUGAACAAUCGUUUUAGGUUCUAAUUAGCAAGGCAGUGAGGUGAUUGGCACCAAUCCAAUUGAUUAUAUUUAAUCCAAUCACUUAGUGAAUUAGAACUUACUUUUAAUUCACCUUCUUCUUUGACGACUACAUUUAAUCAUCUAGAAGAACUCACAAGCCAUGAGUGACAUCUAACCAUAUAUCAUGGCUACCCAAGCUAAUGUAGAAGUUGUUCGGAGAACCUAUUCAGUUGGAAUUACAAUGUGAUUCGAUCCUUCUCUAAAACACUACUCUCAAUCACAUCACUAGGGUAUGGAUAUAUUAUGUCAAACCCCUAAUGUGAUUAUUCCUUCUUAUAUGAUUCAAUUGAGUCGUAUAGGAACGUUUUCCUUUAUUACGCUCGAUACUUCGGCCGAAGAUUCUAGAAUCAUAUCUUAGAGUAUUCAUCCUCUCUUAACGAGGAUUAGAGAUUCCUUGUUGCGCAUUCACUUGCCUUCAUGACUAAGUGGCUUAACCCCGACUAUGCCGUGGACACCCGUGGAUGGAGUGACUUUGACAUAAUCAAAGAUCAAGUACUUAACCACAAGACAACGAUGAUGCCUCAGGUCAAAGGAC